This 517-nucleotide ribosomal RNA is filed under the name bacterium enrichment culture clone ALO1_GLFRUDD03FQWOZ. Its description in RNAcentral is "bacterial SSU rRNA". It matches the Rfam family "Bacterial small subunit ribosomal RNA", at positions 9 to 524 of the family's 1533-position model. The record is from RNAcentral.
GAGUUUGAUCGUGGCUCAGGAUGAACGCUGGCGGCGUGCCUAACACAUGCAAGUCGAGCGGUAUAUAUUGGAUUGAAACUUCGGUUGAAUGAAGAUAUAGAGAGCGGCGGACGGGUGAGUAACGCGUAGGCAACCUGCCCCAUACAGAGGGAUAGCCUCGGGAAACCGGGAUUUAAAACCUCAUAACGCGAGAGUAUCACAUGGUGCUUUCGCCAAAAGAUUUAUCGGUAUGGGAUGGGCCUGCGUCUGAUUAGCUAGUUGGUGGGGUAACGGCCUACCAAGGCAACGAUCAGUAGCCGACCUGAGAGGGUAAAUCGGCCACAUUGGAACUGAGACACGGUCAAACUCCUACGGGAGGCAGCAGUGGGGAAUAUUGCACAAUGGGCGAAAGCCUGAUGCAGCAACGCCGCGUGAGCGAUGAAGGCCUUUGGGUCGUAAAGCUCUGUCCUUGGGGAAGAAAAAAAUGAGGUACCCUUGGAGGAAGCCCGGCUAACUACGUGCCAGCCGCCGCCGUAAC